Molecule: ribosomal RNA, 486 nt
Filed under: uncultured bacterium
Lineage: Bacteria
Description: partial 16S ribosomal RNA
Rfam family: Bacterial small subunit ribosomal RNA
Source: RNAcentral
AUUGAACGCUGGCGGCAUGCCUUACACAUGCAAGUCGAACGGCAGCACGGGUGCUUGCACCUGCUGGCGACUGGCGAACGGGUGAGUAAUACAUCCGUACAUGUCCUGUAGUGGGGGAUAGCCCGUCGAAAGCCUGAUUAAUCCCGCAUACUAUCUACGGAUGAAAGCGGGCGUCCUUCCUCCCUCGCUCUCUACGGUUGGCCGAUGGCUGAUUAGCUAGUUGGUGGGGUAAAGGCCUACCAAGGCGACGAUCAGUAGCUGGUAUGAGAGGACGACCAGCCACACUGGGACUGAGACACGGCCCAGACUCCUACGGGAGGCAGCAGUGGGGAAUUUUGGACAAUGGGCGAAAGCCUGAUACAGCAAUGCCGCGUGUGGGAAGAAGGCCUUCGGGUUGUAAAGCACUUUUGUCCGGAAAGAAAAGGUUGGGUAUAAUACAGUCGGGGGAUGACGGUACCGGAAGAAUAAGCACCGGCUAACUACGUG